GAACCCCUGUUAAGGAAAAUUAACAAAGUGUGGUUAUUAAAGAAGAACUGAGUUGGGAGUCAGACCUGGAGGCCCGCACCCGUGGUUAAGACAUUAUACCACCUUGAGUCUGGCCUGUUGACUGAGGAUACAACAGAGAAAUGCAUAAUGUCCAGUCAAUUUAUUAAAGUUCCAAAGUCGGUCGCGCGCAGUGGCUCACGCCUGUAAUCUCAACACUUCGGGAGGCCGAGGCGUGUGGAUCACGAGAUUUCAAUAUGAUUAAAGCAGGAGUGAGGACACAGCGAAAGUGAGACAAGGAAAAGAGAACAAAAUAAAACAGGAAAGACAGAAAAGCCAAUACCACACGUGUUAAGAGUAACAAGCUCCCGUGCUGCUAGAGAAAGUCCUCAGCUAGAAACUGGUGCAAAUUCUGGAGAUGAGACCUUGUAGAGUGUUAAGAAUGGUUUUCUUCCCAGCAGCUACAGCUAAGGAAUAGGGGCUGGGCUAUGAAUACAUCUGCUACAAACCAAUAAAGCCCUUAUGCUCCUUUUGGUGAUCGACAAUGUAUUUAAAAAUAUUAGAUGAUCAAGAAGGGCUGCAGAAAGGAGGAAACAGAAACAAA
This 601-nucleotide long non-coding RNA is filed under the name Homo sapiens (human). Its description in RNAcentral is "HSALNT0295249". Lineage: Eukaryota; Metazoa; Chordata; Mammalia; Primates; Hominidae. The record is from RNAcentral.